GACGAACGCUGGCGGCGUGCUUAACACAUGCAAGUCGAACGGAAAGGCCCUGCUUUUGUGGGGUGCUCGAGUGGCGAACGGGUGAGUAACACGUGAGUAACCUGCCCUUGACUUUGGGAUAACUUCAGGAAACUGGGGCUAAUACCGGAUAGGAGCUCCUGCUGCAUGGUGGGGGUUGGAAAGUUUCGGCGGUUGGGGAUGGACUCGCGGCUUAUCAGCUUGUUGGUGGGGUAGUGGCUUACCAAGGCUUUGACGGGUAGCCGGCCUGAGAGGGUGACCGGCCAGAGUGGGAGAGAAGUGCGGGCAAGACGGCUACGGGAGGCAGAAGGGGGGGUGGGUGCAGGAGGGGCGGAAGCUUGACGCAGGAACGCCGCGUGCGGGAUGAGGGGCGGAGGGUUGUGAGCAGAGUUCGCCGGGGAAGAAGCGUGAGAGACGGUAAUGGGUAAGGAAGAAAGCGCUCACUACGUG
RNAcentral lists this ribosomal RNA (468 nucleotides) under uncultured bacterium. RNAcentral describes it as "partial 16S ribosomal RNA". It matches the Rfam family "Bacterial small subunit ribosomal RNA", at positions 28 to 507 of the family's 1533-position model. The record is from RNAcentral.